Molecule: ribosomal RNA, 253 nt
Filed under: uncultured bacterium
Lineage: Bacteria
Description: partial 16S ribosomal RNA
Rfam family: Bacterial small subunit ribosomal RNA
Source: RNAcentral
GACGGAGGAUGCAAGCGUUAUCCGGAAUGAUUGGGCGUAAAGCGUCUGCAGGUGGCCGUUCAAGUCUGCUGUCAAAGACCGGGGCUUAACUUCGGAAAGGCAGUGGAAACUGAACAGCUAGAGUAUGGUAGGGGCAGAGGGAAUUCCUGGUGUAGCGGUGAAAUGCGUAGAGAUCAGGAAGAACAUCGGUGGCGAAGGCGCUCUGCUGGACCAGAACUGACACUCAGGGACGAAAGCGAGGGGAGCGAAUGGG